UACGUAGGUGGCAAGCGUUGUCCGGAUUUAUUGGGUUUAAAGGGUGCGUAGGCGGCUUUGUAAGUCAGUGGUGAAAUAUGGCAGCUCAACUGUCAAGGUGCUAUUGAUACUGCAGAGCUUGAGUACAGAUGAGGUAGGCGGAAUUGACGGUGUAGCGGUGAAAUGCUUAGAUAUCGUCAAGAACACCUAUAGCGAAGGCAGCUUACUAGGCUGUAACUGACGCUGAGGCACGAAAGUGUGGGGAUCAAACAGG
Molecule: ribosomal RNA, 253 nt
Filed under: uncultured bacterium
Lineage: Bacteria
Description: partial 16S ribosomal RNA
Rfam family: Bacterial small subunit ribosomal RNA
Source: RNAcentral